Molecule: ribosomal RNA, 289 nt
Filed under: Methanosaeta sp. enrichment culture DGGE gel band SedJLblack4
Lineage: Archaea; Methanobacteriati; Methanobacteriota; Methanomicrobia; Methanotrichales; Methanotrichaceae
Description: partial 16S ribosomal RNA
Rfam family: Archaeal small subunit ribosomal RNA
Source: RNAcentral
CCCCGGAAAGGUACCACCGGGUGGCGAAGGCGUCUCACUAGAACGGAUCUGACGGCAAGGAACGAGAGCUAGGGGAGGAACCGGAUUAGAUACCCGGGUAGUCCUAGCCGUAAACGAUGCCCACUUGGUGUCGGCCACCGUGCGACCGUUGGCAGUGCCGGAGGGAAGGCGUUAAGCGAGCCACCUGGGAAGUACGGCCGCAAGGCUGAAACUUAAAGGAAUUGGCGGGGGAGCACCCACCGGGUGGAGCUUGCGGUUUUUUGGUUCUUGCCGGAAUCUUACCGGGAGC